RNAcentral lists this ribosomal RNA (500 nucleotides) under uncultured eukaryote. RNAcentral's name for it is "SSU rRNA". It matches the Rfam family "Eukaryotic small subunit ribosomal RNA", at positions 34 to 538 of the family's 1831-position model. The record is from RNAcentral.
AUGUUGAGAUUAGCCAUGCAUGUCUCAGUAUAAGCUUCUAUACGGCGAAACUGCGAAUGGCUCAUUAAAACAGUUAUAGUUUAUUUGGUGGUCAGCAAUUACAUGGAUAACCGUGGUAAUUCUAGAGCUAAUACAUGCGCCCAAACCCGACUUCGUGGAAGGGUUGUGUUUAUUAGAUACAGAACCAACCCAGGCUCCGCCUGGCCUUGAGGUGAUUCAUAAUAACCGAACGAAUCGCAUGGCUAUGCCGGCGAUAGACCAUUCAAGUUUCUGACCUAUCAGCUAUCGUCGGUAGGGUAUUGGCCUACCGUGGCAAUGACGGGUAACGGAGAAUUAGGGUUCGAUUCCGGAGAGGGAGCCUGAGAAACGGCUACCACAUCUAAGGAAGGCAGCAGGCGCGCAAAUUACCCAAUCCUGACGCAGGGAGGUAGUGACAAGAAAUAACAAUACAGGGCAUACAUGUCUUGUAAUUGGAAUGAGUAAACUUUAAAUCACUUUAC